GAUUUACCAGUCUUCAUUGAUUACAGAGGUGGUUUUAAGAUGUAAAGAAGUAAUGAGAUAAGGAGUCAAGAAAAUUCAAGAAAAUACUGAAACCGUCCCGCUGGCGUGCCCUUGGUCGUACCAGCAGCCCAUCCUUGGUUAGAGACGGCUAAAAACAAUCAGGUUAAAGGAUUUCUAACUUCUCUGAGAUUUGAACACUGAGGUCUUCUUGCAAUUAAUUUUUUUGGAUAAAGGAGCUAACUAU
RNAcentral lists this long non-coding RNA (244 nucleotides) under Strongylocentrotus purpuratus (purple sea urchin). RNAcentral describes it as "uncharacterized LOC105442626, transcript variant X1". Lineage: Eukaryota; Metazoa; Echinodermata; Echinoidea; Camarodonta; Strongylocentrotidae. The record is from RNAcentral.